Molecule: ribosomal RNA, 1035 nt
Filed under: Salmonella enterica
Lineage: Bacteria; Pseudomonadati; Pseudomonadota; Gammaproteobacteria; Enterobacterales; Enterobacteriaceae
Also listed under: 2 other names
Description: bacterial LSU rRNA
Rfam family: Bacterial large subunit ribosomal RNA
Source: RNAcentral
CAAUCAAACCGGGAGAUAGCUGGUUCUCCCCGAAAGCUAUUUAGGUAGCGCCUCGUGAAUUCAUCUCCGGGGGUAGAGCACUGUUUCGGCUAGGGGGCCAUCCCGGCUUACCAACCCGAUGCAAACUGCGAAUACCGGAGAAUGUUAUCACGGGAGACACACGGCGGGUGCUAACGUCCGUCGUGAAGAGGGAAACAACCCAGACCGCCAGCUAAGGUCCCAAAGUCAUGGUUAAGUGGGAAACGAUGUGGGAAGGCCCAGACAGCCAGGAUGUUGGCUUAGAAGCAGCCAUCAUUUAAAGAAAGCGUAAUAGCUCACUGGUCGAGUCGGCCUGCGCGGAAGAUGUAACGGGGCUAAACCAUGCACCGAAGCUGCGGCAGCGAACGUAUCACCCAAGACAACUUUACGGAGUUGACGAUUGACGGAGCGAAGCGACGUCAAAGCGUUCAUUAAAGUCGAGUUGGCUUAGGGAUACGUUCGUUGGGUAGGGGAGCGUUCUGUAAGCCUGUGAAGGUGUGUCGUGAGGCAUGCUGGAGGUAUCAGAAGUGCGAAUGCUGACAUAAGUAACGAUAAAGCGGGUGAAAAGCCCGCUCGCCGGAAGACCAAGGGUUCCUGUCCAACGUUAAUCGGGGCAGGGUGAGUCGACCCCUAAGGCGAGGCCGAAAGGCGUAGUCGAUGGGAAACGGGUUAAUAUUCCCGUACUUGGUGUUACUGCGAAGGGGGGACGGAGAAGGCUAUGUUGGCCGGGCGACGGUUGUCCCGGUUUAAGCGUGUAGGUGUGUGUUCCAGGUAAAUCCGGUUCACUUUAACACUGAGGCGUGACGACGAGGCACUACGGUGCUGAAGCAACAAAUGCCCUGCUUCCAGGAAAAGCCUCUAAGCAUCAGGUAACAUCAAAUCGUACCCCAAACCGACACAGGUGGUCAGGUAGAGAAUACCAAGGCGCUUGAGAGAACUCGGGUGAAGGAACUAGGCAAAAUGGUGCCGUAACUUCGGGAGAAGGCACGCUGACACGUAGGUGAAGUGAUUUACUCA